Pelobates cultripes (western spadefoot toad) is the source of this 922-nucleotide non-coding RNA. NCBI's taxonomy places the organism in Eukaryota, Metazoa, Chordata, Amphibia, Anura, Pelobatidae. The record is from the annotation of a GenBank genome assembly.
GUAUAAAAAUAAGGGGCUCAUUAUGCAAACAAACAUACAUGCAGAGAAAUCAUGUUAGUUCUAGAAUUUGUAGCCCCCCUUAAAUAACCUCUAGUUUUUUCUUAUUCAUCAUCACCUUUACAUGUACUUUUUACAUUUCCUCAAUUAAGACUUUAUGCUUAAAAUCAGCGUUGCACAUCAUAAAAUAGCACAUAAAUUAGCAAGCCGGAGUAAUGCCAAACAUCCAUCAUACCUUUUAACCCCCCUUUUUUUUUUUUUUUUAAACCAUUGUAGUCUGCAAAAUUGACAUCUACGUUAAAUAAAUACCACAGUCCACCAAAGACUGGAAAUCUGUUUUAUAACCUACCAAAGGCAACCUCUACCAAAGAGGGAUCUAGGGACGUCUCCCAUAUGUAAGUGUACAUCACAGGUACAUCACAGCCUACCAAAGGCUUGAAAUUAUUUUUAACACCUGGCCAAAGGUGAACCUCUUACCAAAGAGGAAAUGUGCACAAUAACUACUACUACCUACCAAAGGCAAUCCUCCAACCCGUGGAGUAAUAGAAGUCUACCUAAGACUUAACAAAAUACCAUGUCUACCAAAGACAUUAUCCUGUGAAAAUCCCCUUUAAAAAUGUAAAUAGUGAAAAACCCCAUUAAAACAAGAAAUGCAAUGUGUGGGAGGAUGGCAGAAGCAGGCAAAGGUCCCCAACCCCUUAAGGACACACGACAGAAAUACUCCGUCAUGAUACCCUUAAAUUCCAGAAGUUGUGUCCCCAAGGGGCUAAAGACCCCCUUACCUGCAACUCCGUUCCUAAUUGCACCCAAACUUCUGACACCAAUUUGUUGGGGAUAAAAUCAGCCUGGCCCUUUGUGGAUGAUGGAUAUUUGCCAACUCAUACAGAGCUCUGGAAAUUGGAAAUGAAUAGCAGAGACGUGUUCA